RNAcentral lists this non-coding RNA (23 nucleotides) under Arabidopsis thaliana (thale cress). Lineage: Eukaryota; Viridiplantae; Streptophyta; Magnoliopsida; Brassicales; Brassicaceae. The record is from RNAcentral.
CCACCGCCGCCGCCACCAGCACC